GACGAACGCUGGCGGCGUGCCUAAUACAUGCAAGUCGAACGCAGCGGGGACGGGUGAGUAACACGUGGGUAACCUCCCACCAGAGGGGAUAACACUUGGAAACAGGUGCUAAACCGAUACCGAUGGAUGAACCCGCGGUGCAUUAGCUAGUUGGGGAGGUAACGGCUCACCAAGGCCACGAUGCAUAGCCGACCUGAGAGGGUGGUCGGCCACACUGGGACUGAGACACGGUCCAGACUCCUACGGGAGGCAGCAGUUGGGAAUAUUGGACAAUGGGCGAAAGCCUGAUCCAGCCAUGCCGCGUGUGUGAAGAAGGUCUUCGGAUUGUAAAGCACUUUAAGUUGGGAGGCGUUACCAACAGAGUAAACACCGGCUAACUUCGUGCCAGCCGCCGCGGUAAUAC
This 403-nucleotide ribosomal RNA is filed under the name uncultured bacterium. RNAcentral describes it as "partial 16S ribosomal RNA". It matches the Rfam family "Bacterial small subunit ribosomal RNA", at positions 28 to 526 of the family's 1533-position model. The record is from RNAcentral.